AUGCCCACUUUCGCUUUCGCCCUCACUGUGCUGCGGGUGCCCAAAAAGUUUUACAAGGAAGUAGACAAGGCAAGACGAAGGUUCCUCUGGGCGCAAGACGAAGUAGCCACCGGUGGAAAGUGCAAGGUGCGAUGGCAGGCGGUGACCGCGCCAGCGCGCGUAGGUGGUCUGGGCAUCCACGAUCUGGCAAAGUUUGCCCGGGCCCUGCGGCUGCGAUGGCUAUGGCUUGCAUGGAUGCAGCCCUCCCGCCCCUGGGUGGGCACCGACUCCCCAUGCGACGACGCCGAUCGUGCCCUGUUUGCCACCUGCACGGUGGUCACCGUCGGGGACGGCUCUACGGCUUCCUUCUGGCACUCUUCCUGGCUCAACGGUAGUCAGCUAUGUCAGGCAUACCCCGCAGUGUUUGUUCACUCUGCCCGCAAGAACAUGUCCGUUAAAGAAGCCGUGCAUCAAGACCGAUGGGUGCUCGACCUCCGCAACGGCGAUCAUGGCGACAUCAUGCACAUGGUGCUGCAGCUCGCCAGGGAGAUCAGAAGCGCCGGCAUCAUGCUUCAAGCUGGCAGGGCCGACACCAUCACCUGGACCCGAGGCAACUCCGGCAACUACUCCACGCGUUCCGCCUAUGAUGUCCAAUUUGAAGAGCGCCCGACACUUGACUUCACCACUUCCAUCUGGAAGGCCUGGGCCCCUGAUAAGAUGAAAGCCCUCCUCUGGCUGUUGCACUUAGAUCAACUUUGGUGCAACGAUAGGCUACAACGACGCGGAUGGAUCAACAACUACUUCUGCCAGCUCUGCGUACGUAACCUUGAGUCCUCGACGCACCUGUUCUGGGAGUGCACCGUGACCAUUCAGUGCUAG
RNAcentral lists this ribosomal RNA (858 nucleotides) under Triticum aestivum (bread wheat). Its description in RNAcentral is "partial small subunit ribosomal RNA". Lineage: Eukaryota; Viridiplantae; Streptophyta; Magnoliopsida; Poales; Poaceae. The record is from RNAcentral.